CCCUUAGAUGUUCUGGGCUGCACACGUGCUACACUGGCAGGUUCAGCGAGCUUCAUGCCCUGAUCUGAAAGGAAUGGGAAAUCUUUUCAAAAACUGCCGUGCUUGGGAUAGAUGUUUGCAAUUAUUCAUCUUCAACGAGGAUUGCCUUGUAAGCGCACGUCAUCAGCGUGCAUUGAAUACGACCCUGUAUUCUGUACACACCGCCCGUCGCUCCUACCGAUUGAAGUUUUCGGUGAGUUGACAGGAGGAUUUUUUUGAAACUGGUUCGCCAGUGGAUUUUAGAUCCAAAUGCCAACGAAUCGAUGGCUUUAGAGGAAGGAGAAGUCGUAACA
This 332-nucleotide ribosomal RNA is filed under the name uncultured eukaryote. RNAcentral describes it as "partial 18S ribosomal RNA". It matches the Rfam family "Eukaryotic small subunit ribosomal RNA", at positions 1470 to 1796 of the family's 1831-position model. The record is from RNAcentral.